AUUGAACGCUGGCGGCAGGCUUAACACAUGCAAGUCGAGCGGGGGAAGGUAGCUUGCUACUGGACCUAGCGGCGGGCGGGUGAGUAAUGCUUAGGAAACUGCCUAGUAGUGGGGGACAACAUCGCGAACGGGGUGCUAAUCCCGCAUACGUCCUACGGGAGAAAGCAGGGGAUCUUCGGACCCGGCGCUAAUAGAUGAGCCUCGGUCUGAUUAGCUAGUUGGGGGGGUAACGGCCUACCACGGCGACGAGCAGUAGCGGGACUGAGAGGAUGAUCCGCCACACGGGGACUGAGACACGGCCCAGGCUCCUACGGGAAGCAGCAGUAGGGAUUAUUGGACAAUGGGGAGAACCCUAAUCCAGCCAUGCCGCGUGUGUGAAGAAGGCCUUAUGGUUGUAAAGCACUUUAAGCGAGGAGGAGGCUACUUUAGUUAAUACCUAGAGAUAGUGGACGUUACUCGCAGAAUAAGCACCGGCUAACUCUGUGCCAGCCGCCGCGGUAA
Molecule: ribosomal RNA, 501 nt
Filed under: uncultured bacterium
Lineage: Bacteria
Description: partial 16S ribosomal RNA
Rfam family: Bacterial small subunit ribosomal RNA
Source: RNAcentral